GAUGAACGCUGGCGGCGUGUUUAACACAUGCAAGUCGAACGAAGCGCUUAAACGGAUUUCUUCGGAAUGAAGUUUUUGCGACUGAGUGGCGGACGGGUGAGUAACGCGUGGGUAACCUGCCUCAUACAGGGGGAUAACAGUUAGAAAUGACUGCUAAUACCGCAUAAGCGCACAGUGCUGCAUGGCACAGUGUGAAAAACUCCGGUGGUAUGAGAUGGACCCGCGUCUGAUUAGCUAGUUGGUGGGGUAACGGCCUACCCAGGCGACGAUCAGUAGCCGGCCUGAGAGGGUGAACGGCCACAUUGGGACUGAGACACGGCCCAAACUCCUACGGGAGGCAGCAGUGGGGAAUAUUGCACAAUGGGGGAAACCCUGAUGCAGCGACGCCGCGUGAGCGAAGAAGUAUUUCGGUAUGUAAAGCUCUAUCAGCAGGGAAGAAAAUGACGGUACCUGACUAAGAAGCACCGGCUAAAUACGUGCCAGCAGCCGCGGUAAUACGUAUGGUGCAAGCGUUAUCCGGAUUUACUGGGUGUAAAGGAAGCGUAGACGGUUGUGUAAGUCUGAUGUGAAAGCCCGGGGCUCAACCCCGGGACUGCAUUGGAAACUAUGUAACUAGAGUGUCGGAGAGGUAAGCGGAAUUCCUAGUGUAGCGGUGAAAUGCGUAGAUAUUAGGAGGAACACCAGUGGCGAAGGCGGCUUACUGGACGAUCACUGACGUUGAGGCUCGAAAGCGUGGGGAGCANACAGG
Molecule: ribosomal RNA, 748 nt
Filed under: uncultured bacterium
Lineage: Bacteria
Description: bacterial SSU rRNA
Rfam family: Bacterial small subunit ribosomal RNA
Source: RNAcentral